CUGCCGGGAAAGUACAAAACAGAUGGAAAGAAUCCAUAGUGGUCUGCAAGUACAAGUGUGUAAUUUUGACUUCAGUUGGAAAGAGAUUUUCCAAAAUGGAAGUCUUUCUCACUCAAAGAAAUUUUGUUUUAUGAACUUCCCAUCAGAGUGGAUCUUCAGAGGUGAUUGACUUGACAGUAGAAGUCAUCAGUAACGAGACUUUUCACUCUCUUUAAAAAAA
This is a long non-coding RNA of Haliaeetus leucocephalus (bald eagle), 220 nucleotides long. RefSeq lists it as uncharacterized. NCBI's taxonomy places the organism in Eukaryota, Metazoa, Chordata, Aves, Accipitriformes, Accipitridae. The record is from RefSeq and is a predicted model, not a curated record. The transcript is spliced from 2 exons.